This 75-nucleotide transfer RNA is filed under the name Gammaproteobacteria bacterium. Its description in RNAcentral is "tRNA-Arg". It matches the Rfam family "tRNA". From Rfam's summary of the family: Transfer RNA (tRNA) molecules are approximately 80 nucleotides in length. Lineage: Bacteria; Pseudomonadati; Pseudomonadota; Gammaproteobacteria. The record is from RNAcentral.
GGCCCCGUAGUCUAAAUGGAUGAGGCACCUGCCUACGAAGCAGGUCAUAUGUGGGUUCGAGUCCCACCGGGGUCU